This is a long non-coding RNA of Homo sapiens (human), 911 nucleotides long. Ensembl annotates it as long intergenic non-protein coding RNA 1193. The record is from Ensembl. NCBI's taxonomy places the organism in Eukaryota, Metazoa, Chordata, Mammalia, Primates, Hominidae.
AGUAACACUCUGGGAGGGCUCAGGCCACAUCACGAAAUGUGACAGGAUAGCCUUGAACUCAUCAAUUGCUGGGUAAGAAAGAAUUUUAAUGCAAUGGCAAACAACCAAUCAAACAAGCAAACAAAAACAAUAAACCCUUCCUUGAGGACCAAGAAGACAUUGAUUAGCUAACCUAAGAGCUCCAGGUGGAGACCUAGGUCCUGAUUGGGUUUCUGAAUUUGACCACUAGGCAGAAAACUAGCACCCAAAACCAGUUGGAAUAAAAUUACCCACCUACAGUGGAGCCAAGGCCCCCAGAUCCUUUUUGUCAGCAAGGUAAGCUGUCAUCAGUUGGAGGUAAGCAGAAGACAGUAGAGAGUACAGAGCCCUGGACUGUGACUCAGAGGAUGAGCACCAGAUCCAGUUUGCUGUGCCACAGUGCCUUCUCCAAAGUCACUCACAGAAGGCAUCCCACUCAACCUCACCUUGGGGUAAAUCAAAAUAGUCCUCCUUCUGAAGCUACCGGGUAAAACGGUGGUAGCUGUGCAGCUGCUGCUGAUCAACAGGCUCCAGAAACAGCAGCAGGAGAAAAAGCUGGUUCUGAGUGAAAUAGAAGGACUAGGGUGCCAAAUUAACUCCUCUCCACAAAGUGACCCCACAUGGAAAAGUACUUGAGAAGCUCUGUAAAGACAUGGUAAAAGCUUACCAAAGACAGUAGCAUUAUCCUUUCCCUUACACACAAAGUGGAGGGGAAGUGUGGGGCCUGUGAUAUUUUGAAGCAGGAAGCUGACCUGAGACCUUCAGAAUAAACUGAUCACUGUGGAUAAUGAAAAGGCCCCACCCAGGACAUUGAUUGAGCACCCCUGCCUGUCUCAUUCCUUCUUCUCUUUCUUUUUAUUAUGUGCUUACCAUAAUAAAAAUUUUUAUUGUCU